Molecule: long non-coding RNA, 734 nt
Organism: Chinchilla lanigera (long-tailed chinchilla)
Lineage: Eukaryota; Metazoa; Chordata; Mammalia; Rodentia; Chinchillidae
Exons: 3
Source: RefSeq, a predicted model, not a curated record
CACUAGCCUGCACAUCCCUCAUGCAGAGCUCCCGGCAGCACUAUCCAUGGAUCCUUCUACCCCAGGAGACGGGGGCUCCUCGGCAUAGCAAAAGGGUCAUGAGCACCCAGCAAUAGUAAAGCUCUGGAACACUAGGAGACACUAUAGAUGGGCCUGUCAAAGCCCUUCUUUCUUCAAAUGUCCCAUCUGGUAGAGAAAGGCCUUUAAUAAUAUGUUAGAAAAGUUAAGGAUCACAUAAGAGGAAAAAAAUGUUCUGCAGGGUUCUGAGAAUGAGAAAACACAUCCAGGGCCAGCAUGAGAAAUUCCUGGAAGAAAAAGAUCAUGAUGGGUUUGAGGCCAAGACAAAGGAAAGAGGAAGAGCAGAGCAGGCUUGGAGAAGUGAGAAAAGCCAGUGGACAGUGUCAGAGAAGAGUGCAGUUCCUUGUAGUGUACCACAUGGCAUGGCCCACCAGAGCUGAGCGCAGUUUCUCAAGUCACUGACAAGGAAUCGACUUGUAUAAACAGAAAACAGAAGGAUACUGGAGCAGUGAUCACCUAGGAGGAAAAUGGAGGGAACAGCAAGCUGACUACAUCAGAGAAACCACUGUCACACAUAAAGACCGGAACAGACAAGAACUCGGGGUCCUCCGACUUUGACAAUGUCUGUUGCAAGCUGCAAGGUCAGUUACUUGCAGCAAAUCUGGGGGUUCAUUCUGAGGGAGUUUACCACAAGGAGUAUUUCCACUCAGUGAAGA